This 71-nucleotide transfer RNA is filed under the name Marmota monax (woodchuck). Its description in RNAcentral is "tRNA.Val". Lineage: Eukaryota; Metazoa; Chordata; Mammalia; Rodentia; Sciuridae. The record is from RNAcentral.
UGGGUUGUGGCUCAGUGGUAGAGAUUCGCCUCACGUGUGCAAGAUCCUGGGUUCGAUCCUCAGCACCACAU